RNAcentral lists this ribosomal RNA (240 nucleotides) under uncultured bacterium. RNAcentral describes it as "partial 16S ribosomal RNA". It matches the Rfam family "Bacterial small subunit ribosomal RNA", at positions 96 to 334 of the family's 1533-position model. The record is from RNAcentral.
CGGCGAACUGGUGAGUAACAGGUGGGUAACGUGCCCUGAAGUGGGGAAUAACCAGAGGAAACUCUGGCUAAUACCGCAUGUGGCCCUGUGGACCCCGGUCCAAUGGGUUAAAGAUUUCGAUCGCUUCAGGAUCGGCCCGUCCCCGAUUAGCUUGUUGGUGAGGUAACGGCUUACCAAGGCGACAAUCGGUAGCUGGUCUGAGAGGAUGGUCAGCCACACUGGGACUGAGAUACGGCCCAG